AAUAGAUACCCGGGUAGUCCACGCCGUAAACGAUGGAUGCUAGCUGUUAUGCGUAUCGACCCGUGUAGUAGCGAAGCUAACGCGUUAAGCAUCCCGCCUGGGGAGUACGAACGCAAGUUUAAAACUCAAAGGAAUUGACGGGGACCCGCACAAGCGGUGGAGCGUGUUCUUUAAUUCGAGGCUAAGCGAAGAACCUUACCAGGGCUUGACAUCCUUGGAAUUUCUCCGAAAGGAGAGAGUACUUUAUUGGACCAAGUGACAGGUGCUGCAUGGCCGUCGUCAGCUCGUGUCGUGAGAUGUUUGGUUAAGUCCAUUAACGAGCGCAACCCUUAUGAAUAGUUGUAUUUUUCUAUUCAGACUGCCCCGGUUAACGGGGAGGAAGGGGGGAUGAUGUCAGGUCAGUAUUGCCCUUACGCCCUGGGCUAGAAACGCGCUACAAUGGCCGGUACAAUGCGCUGCCAACCCGCGAGGGGAGCAAAUCGCAUCAAAGCCGGUCCCAGUUCGGAUAAGAGGCUGAAACUCGCCUCUUGAAGCCGGAAUCGCUAGUAAUCGU
Molecule: ribosomal RNA, 553 nt
Filed under: uncultured bacterium
Lineage: Bacteria
Description: bacterial SSU rRNA
Rfam family: Bacterial small subunit ribosomal RNA
Source: RNAcentral